This 3380-nucleotide ribosomal RNA is filed under the name Durio zibethinus. Its description in RNAcentral is "eukaryotic LSU rRNA". It matches the Rfam family "Eukaryotic large subunit ribosomal RNA". Lineage: Eukaryota; Viridiplantae; Streptophyta; Magnoliopsida; Malvales; Malvaceae. The record is from RNAcentral.
UGUGACCUCAGGUCAAGAGGGAUUACCAGCUGAGUUUAAGCAUAUCAAUAAGUGAAGGAAAAAAAAUUUACUAGGACUCUCUUAGUAAUGGCGAGCAAACUAGAAAAAGCCUAGCUUGAGAAUCGAGCAACCCUAGAGUCCAAAUUGUAGUCUAAAGAAGUGCCUUCAGUAGUAGAUCAAGUCUAAGUCCUUUAAGAAAAGGCAUCGAAGAGGGUGAGAGCCUUGUUCUACCUGGACCCUAUCACACCAUGAGGCGUUAUCUAUGAGCCAAGUUGUUUGGUAAUGCAACCCUAAUCGGGCAGUAAAUUUCAUCCAAGGCUAAAUACGAGUGAGAGAUUGAUAAUGAACAAGUACCAUAAGGGAAAGAUGAAAAGGAUUUUGAAAAGAGAGUCAAAGAGUGCUUGAAAUUAUUGGGAGGGAAGUGGAUGGGAGCCAAUGAUGCUCCUCGAUUGGAUGUGGAACAAUAAGAGUUAGUCCAUCGAUCGGUUCAAGGUAUGGACUGACACAGGUCACGAUAGUGGCCUAAGCCUGGGCUUUCAAUAUGCCUGUAAAGAUGUCAUUGCUGUGAUCAUGGAAUAUAGCAUGUGCCAUCUUGGCAUGCCUCAACACCAAUGUUCUCCCAAUAUCAGCCUAUGGGCUCCCUAUCUAAACCAUCUUGAAACACGUACUAAGGAGUUUGACAUGUGUGUGAGUCAACAAACUAGAAAUACUAUAAAGAAGCUAAUUAAUGGGAUCCCUCGCUGGUGCAUUACCAACUGACCCUGAUCUUUGAUAAGGGUUCGAGUGUAAGCAUGCUUGUCGGGACUCAAAAGAUGAUGAACUAUGCCUAAGUGAGGCAAAGCUAGAGGAAACUCUAGUGGAGGCCCAUAAUGAUACUAACAUGCAAAUCAUUCAUCUGACUUGGGUAUAGGUGCAAAAGACUAACCAAACCAUCUUGUAGUUGGUUCUUUCUAAAAUUUCCCUCAAGAUAGCUAGAACCCUUAGCGAGUUCUAUCGGAUAAAGCCAAUGAUUAGAAGCAUCGGGGGAAUAAUGCCCUCGACUUAUUCUUGAACUUUAAAUAGGUUGGACAGCAUGGUUGCUUCAUUGAGCCAUGCCAUGAAAUUGAAGCUCUAAGUGGGCUAUUUUUGGUAAGCAAAACUGUUGAUGUAGGAUGAAUUGGAAGCUAGGUUAUGAUUCCCAAUUGUGCAGUAACCUAGAACCCACAAAAGGUGUUGGUCGAUUGAAAUAGUAAAACAGUAGUCAUAGAAGUUUAAAUCCACUAAAGAGUGUGUAACAACUUACCUACCAAAUAAACUAGCACCAAAAAUGGAUGGCACUUAAGUGCACAACCUAUACCUUAUCAUCAAGGCAGGGGCUAGGCCUCGAUAAGUAGGAGGGCAUUGUAGUCGUCAUAAAAUACAAGGCACGAGCUCAAGUGGAGCAACCAUCAGUGUGGAUCUUAGUAGUGUAGCAAAUAUUUGAAUGAGAACUUUGAAAGUUGAAGAGGGGAAAGGUUCCAUGUGAAUGGCACUUGCACAUAGGUUAACCGAUCCUAAGAGAAAGGGGAAGCCCAUCCUAUAGCAUAUCUAGCGCAAGCUUCAAAAGAGAAUCGAGUUAAUAUUCCUAAACUGGGAUGUGACAGCUAAUGGCAACAUUAAAGAGUCUAAAGAGGUUAGUGGAGGCCUCAGGGAGAGUUAUCUUCUCUAUUUAACAAUUUGCCUACCUUGGAAAUAGAUUACCCAAAGGUAGGGUCCAGUAGCUAAAAGAGCACUGCACGUCAUGUGGUGUUCAGUAAGCCCUCAAUAGCCCUUGAAAAUCCAGAAGACUAAGUGCUGUCUGUGCCCUAUCAUACUUAUAACUGCAUCAGGUUUCUGAGGUGAAUAGCCUAUUGUCAAUGGAACAAUGUAGGCAAGAGAAGUCAGCAAAAUGGAUUUGUAACCUAGGGAAAAAGAUUGGCUCUUAGUGUUGGGCAUGAAGGUCCUAGUCUUGAACCCAUCGGUUGUCUGUGCACUGCUCGAGCUACUCCUAUGAUGAGAAUGGGUCAUCAUGUGCUGGUGAAGGGUUGGACUGGGUCUAGCUCCCUUGAGGGCCUUCAUCAGGUAAUGAAUAGUUGACUUAGAACUAGUAUCGACAAAGGGAAUCCAAUAGUUUAAUUAAAACAAAGCAUUGUGAUGGCCCCUAUGGAUUGUCAUGCAAUGUGAUUUUUGCCUAGUGCUUUGAAUGUCAAAAUGAAGAAAUUAAACCAAGUGCGGAUUAACGACGGGAGUAACUAUGACUCUCUUAAGGUAGCCAAAUGUCUCAUCAUCUAAUUAGUGACAUGCAUGAAUGGAUUAACAAGAUUCCAACUAUCCCUAUCUGCUAUCUAGUGAAACCAUAACCAAAGGAACAGGCUUAGUAGAAUUAACAGGAAGAGAAAACCCUAUUGAGCUUGACUCUAGUCUAACUUUGUGAAAUGAAUUGAGAGUUGUAGGAUAAGUGGGAGCCCUCGGGUGAAAUUGAAAUACCAUUACUUUUUAUAUUAUUUUAUGUAUUUGAGGAUUAGAGGUGAGGUACAACCCCUUCUUUUAGACACAAGGCUAGCAUUGGUCAAUUAAUCUAGGUGGAAGACAUUGUCUAGUAGGGAGUUUGGUUAGGGCAACACAUUUUUUAAAAGAUAAUAUCGUGUCCUAAGAUGAGCUCAACAAGAACAUAAAUCUUUUUUGGAACAAAAAGGUAAAAGAUUGUUUGAUUCUAAUUUCUAGUAUGAAUAUGAAUAGUGAAAACGUGGCCUAUCGAUCAUUUAGACUUUUGAAAUUUGAAGCUUGAGGUGUCGAAAAAGUUACCACAAGGAUAACUAGCUUGUGGCAGCCAAGCGUUCAUAGCGACAUUGCUUUUUGAUACUUUGAUGUUAGCUCUUCCUAUCAUUGUGAAGCAGAAUUCACCAAGUGUUAGAUUAUUCACCCACUUGUAGGGAAUGUGAGCUAGGUUUAGAUUGUUGUGAGAUAGGAUAGUUUUACCCUAUUGAUGGUAGCAUCAUAAUAGUAAUUCAACCUAGUACAAGAAGAACCAUUGAUUCGCACAAUUGGUCAUUGCACUUGGUUGAAAAACUAGUGGCAUAAAGCUACCAUGCAUUGGAUUAUGACUGAACAAAUCUAAGUCAAAAUCUUAGCUAGAAGUGAUGCAUGUGCCCAUAGCUUGAUUGUCGACCUACAGUAUAGGCCCAUGGCCCCUAAAGUUACAUGUUAUAGGUGCAGCCCUAGUGGCGGACAAGCCACACAAGACUCCUUGGAGCUCAAUUCUCACCGAAUAACGAGUAGAAUCCUUUGUAGAUGACUUAAAUAUGUGACAGGGUAUUGUAAGUGGUAAAAUGGCCUUGCUACCAUGAUUCACUGAGAUUCAGCCCUUUGUCACUUCAAUUUGU